RNAcentral lists this ribosomal RNA (363 nucleotides) under Blastocystis sp. subtype 4. RNAcentral's name for it is "SSU rRNA". It matches the Rfam family "Eukaryotic small subunit ribosomal RNA", at positions 608 to 979 of the family's 1831-position model. Lineage: Eukaryota; Bigyra; Opalinata; Blastocystidae. The record is from RNAcentral.
CGUUGUUGCAGUUAAAAAGCUCGUAGUUGAAUUGAAGUGAACUUGGGUUGAUGUGAUCUUCGGAUGACAUGAAUCAAAGUUGACUCUUUCCAAAGUCAAUACAUUGGUAUUCAUUUAUCUUUGUAUUGUGUUUGGUCAUUUACUGUGAGAAAAUUAGAGUGUUCAAAGCAGACGUUUGUUUGAAUACAUUAGCAUGGAAUAAUCAUAUAUGGCUUUCAUGUUGAUUUGAUUGGUUUGAAUAUGGAAGCAAGAUUAAAAGGGACAGUUGGGGGUAUUCAUAUUCAAUAGUCAGAGGUGAAAUUCUGGGAUUUAUGGAAGAUGAACAAGUGCGAAAGCAUUUACCAAGGAUGUUUUCAUUAAUCA